CCUACGGGAGGCAGCAGUAGGGAAUCUUUCACAAUGGGCGAAAGCCUGAUGGAGCAACGCCGCGUGCAGGAUGAAGGCCUUCGGGUUGUAAACUGCUUUUAUAAGCGAGAAAUAUGAUGGUAACUUAUGAAUAAGCAUCGGCUAACUACGUGCCAGCAGCCGCGGUCAUACGUAUGAUCCGAGCAUUAUCCGGAGUGACUGGGUGUAAAGAGUUGCUUGGUGGGCAUAAUAAGUAGCUAGUAAAAUCUGGUGGCUCAACCAUUCAGACUAUUAGCUAAACUGUUAAGCUCGAGACCGUUAGGGGUAACUGGAAUUUUUAGUGUAGGAGUGAAAUCCGUAGAUAUUAGAAGGAACACCAAUAGCGUAGGCAGGUUGCUGGGACGGUUCUGACACUAAGGCACGAAAGCGUAGGGAGCAAACGGGAUUAGAUACCCUUGUAGUC
RNAcentral lists this ribosomal RNA (442 nucleotides) under uncultured bacterium. RNAcentral describes it as "partial 16S ribosomal RNA". It matches the Rfam family "Bacterial small subunit ribosomal RNA", at positions 338 to 795 of the family's 1533-position model. The record is from RNAcentral.